Molecule: transfer RNA, 78 nt
Filed under: Staphylococcus arlettae
Lineage: Bacteria; Bacillati; Bacillota; Bacilli; Caryophanales; Staphylococcaceae
Description: tRNA-Lys
Rfam family: tRNA
About the family: Transfer RNA (tRNA) molecules are approximately 80 nucleotides in length. Their secondary structure includes four short double-helical elements and three loops (D, anti-codon, and T loops).
Source: RNAcentral
GAGCCAUUAGCUCAGUUGGUAGAGCAUCUGACUUUUAAUCAGAGGGUCAGAGGUUCGAAUCCUCUAUGUGGCUCAUCA